This is a non-coding RNA of Podarcis lilfordi (Lilford's wall lizard), 238 nucleotides long. The record is from the annotation of a GenBank genome assembly. NCBI's taxonomy places the organism in Eukaryota, Metazoa, Chordata, Lepidosauria, Squamata, Lacertidae.
UCCUCCCUGGCUCGCCGUAAGCAGCUUCUGAUUUGCUGCUUUACAGCGAGCCAGGGAGAGGCAGGUGGGAGCCACGGCUUCCCCUUCCUCCCUCCCUGGCUCACUGUAAGCGGCUCCCACUUUGCCACUUUACAGUGAGCCGGGGAGGGAGGGAGGAUGGACAGGAGCUGUGGCUCCCGAGAGGACGAGCUACGCAGCUUUGCCGGUGCCCUGGCAAAGUGGCAUAGCUCCCUCCCUU